Molecule: ribosomal RNA, 460 nt
Filed under: uncultured bacterium
Lineage: Bacteria
Description: partial 16S ribosomal RNA
Rfam family: Bacterial small subunit ribosomal RNA
Source: RNAcentral
CCUACGGGUGGCAGCAGUGAGGAAUAUUGGUCAAUGGACGAGAGUCUGAACCAGCCAAGUAGCGUGAAGGAUGACUGCCCUAUGGGUUGUAAACUUCUUUUAUAUGGGAAUAAAAUGUUCCACGUGUGGGAUUUUGUAUGUACCAUAUGAAUAAGGAUCGGCUAACUCCGUGCCAGCAGCCGCGUUAAUACGGAGGAUCCGAGCGUUAUCCGGAUUUAUUGGGUUUAAAGGGAGCGUAGGUGGAUUGUUAAGUCAGUUGUGAAAGUUUGCGGCUCAACCGUAAAAUUGCAGUGGAAACUGGCAGUCUUGAGUACAGUAGAGGUAGGCGGAAUUCGUGGUGUAGCGGUGAAAUGCUUAGAUAUCACGAAGAACUCCGAUUGCGAAGGCAGCUUACUGGACUGCAACUGACACUGAGGCUCGAAAGUGUGGGUAACAAACAGGAUUAGAUACCCGGGUAGUC